This 35047-nucleotide long non-coding RNA is filed under the name Theobroma cacao (cacao). RNAcentral's name for it is "long non-coding RNA (TCAC_LNC002404)". The record is from RNAcentral. Lineage: Eukaryota; Viridiplantae; Streptophyta; Magnoliopsida; Malvales; Malvaceae.
AUGUAUAGGUGGUGAGCCUUCUAACAAGGGUAAAGAGAUUGUGCCCAAAGAUCGAGAAUAGAAGUAUAUCGAACUCCUAGUACUGUGAGUAACCUUACUAUCAUCUUAAUUAUCUAGAGUGGUUUUUAUUCGAUUUUGUGAUUUGAUAAAAAAUGAGUUUAAAUGGUAAAUUUUUAGGUUUUAUAAACAAAAUGUGUUUAAAUAAAAUGAUUUCAUAAAUGGUCUUAAAAUUGAAUGAAGGCUUUGAAAAUGGAGUAAUUGGAGACCAUUUAAUGUAUUGUAAAUUUAUGGUUCUAAUUGAUUGGCUUAUGACAAUAUUGGCAUGAAUGGCUGAAUUGGUAUUUGUGUUGAAAUGUAUAAACUGUUGUUUGCCUUGAUAGGCUGGAUAAUGAUAAAAUCGCCAUAUCAUGUUGUUGAAUUUUUAUUGUAUGGUGGGUUUAGCUUGCUGCAGUGGGCUGGUUCUGUGGACCAACCUAUUAGAAGGGCACGGAACCUGGUCAUAUAUAUGUACCUCGAUUAGAGAGGCGCGUAGGGUAACUCCCGAGGUCAAACUUUAGAGUUCACUUCACGCCCAACCACCACGUGAGGGGAACUCAGCCAACGCCAAGGAACGACUACGUUUUCAAAAUAAAAACAUGAUUUAUGCGUACAUGACUUUUUAACAGCCUUGGCGGACUCAGUUUGGGAUAGCCCUCGGCCAAGGUAUCCUUGAUGACUGAGUAUGAUAAUGAUUUUGGCAUGAGCCAAAGCUUUUAAGAAAUUCAUAAGCCAUAUUAAUUACUUGAUUUAUAUGAAUUGAUUUUAUUUGGUUGAAACAAGUUGAAAGGUGAUGAAUUUUAGUAUGUUAAACUAUUUUAUCUGUCUCCAUUUAGUCGACUUUAGAUGGUAUCUGUUUACUCACUGGGAUUUUAUAAUCUCACCACCCUCCUUUUUAACUAUUUCAGGCCCGAGGUAACUUGUGGAUAGCAGAUAUCGUCAAGGAUUAUAGUCGGCUUUACUACUCCAAAAACUGUAGGUUUACUGCCUUUGUGCACUUUUGUUCCUUGUGGGCCCAUGAGUCACUAUAAAGUAAAUUUCAUAUCUCAGUUAUCUGUAUUAUAGUACGUAUGAACUUAUUGAGCUUUUACAUUACAAAAAUUAUUUACCGAUGACUCUAUAAUUAUUGUUUUACAAGAAAUUAUAAUAUUUUAUUGAAUAUUUUUAUUUUAUUCAAAUAGUUGCAAUAUGAUUUUUCAUAAAUGUUUUAGACACCCAAAUUUAUUUUAAAUCAUGAAAUAUGUGUUUUCCACUAAUCUACUACAUUUUUAGUCGAGUUCAUAAAAUUUUGAGGAAAAAUGAUGAAAACGCCCUUGUGAGGCGAAAAUUAUUUUUCCACGGUUUUGAAAGGGAAAAAGCUUAAAAUUCUUUAAAAAUGAGGUUUGGCAAUGAUUACUCACAGGGGAGAUGAAAAAAAAUGAUACUAAAGCCUUGCGGGGUUCCGGUUAGCACUUCGGGUAACGAAUGUCUACUCGGACGUCGCGACGGCUGUCACAUUCUCAAGGGGAGUAUCGGAUCAUGACAAUUCGAGUGGUAUCAGAGCAUUUGGUUUUAAAAUUGUUUAAAAAAAAACUACAAUGUCAGUGUGGCCCCAAGUUAAGUUAAGGUAGAUUAGAUUUUGUUGGAUAGAUACAUCUGCAUAUAGAAACCUACUUGUCCUUGUGGGAUAUAAAUGAUCAGGAAAUUACCAUUUGGUUACGUAUAAGUUGUGGUGCUCGGAUUGCACUUACUAUGCCUAGGAGAGAUAGUGAUUCCGAUACCUCACAUUGUACUAGUGAGGGAUCAAUAAAUUCCACCGCUAAAAGCUGAUGUCGUUCUGAACCCAGUAAUCUAGAAAGAUAUUCGUUUAGAGUUCCUAUUAAUUGGACUUCAUCGGAUUUGGGAGUGAAGGUUCGGAUAAAGGAAAGCACUAGUAUUAGUGAGACUGAUGAAAGUGUUGAUAGUAACGACGUUAAUGAAGGCAUAAGAAAUUUCAUCUUGAAAGAAAUUGAGGAAUGUAGGAAACUCCAGCAGGCUCGGAUUAAAGAACAAAAAAAAAGAAAGCUCUAAGAGAAUCUGAAAGAGGAUCAUUGUGAUGAUGACCCUAAAGAUACUUAGUGUUUUGUUGAAGUUGUACUACUUUAACUCUAGAUAGAUGUAGUAUAAAGGAAAUAGUAACUCCCUGUAUAAAGGAAUUAAGAGUUGACUUUUAUUUUAUAUAAUGUGAAUGAAGUAAUUGUUUAAAUGACUGGUUAUAUGUAUAUGGGAACCUUUUUGGUAGGACAGAAGUGGAUUAGUGGUAUAAUCAUUGAGGAGGGGUAUUUACCUUAGCGGUGUGAUUAGUUGCCUUAUAUAAUUACUGAGAAUUGACGUAGAAAUUCAUCAAUGGUACGGGCAACUACAAUACCUGAUAAGUGACUUCAAAAUUUCUUAUGGAAAAGGUGAAAUUUGAAAUUUCAGUUGCAGCUACAAAUUUGAAAGGAUAUAAGUGACGCUUAUAAUGGGUUUUUUAUUCUAUGAGGAUUAUGAAUAUAAGUGUAAAGAAAGAUGAAGGUAUGAGAUAUCGAUGAGGAAUAUCAAUGUUAAGUGAUGAAGUAUGAAUAACGAAUUACAAGUGUGGUAUGGUAAAUGAGUUAAUGUAAAGUGUUGCAAUGAGAAUUUAUAAUUCUUGUCUCGACUCAGUUGAAUAAAAGGGGCUAGUAACAACACAAGGUCGAUUAUGUGGAUAUAAAGAGAAAUUAGUCUGAAGGCAUUUGAAAACAGAGACCCGUAUACAUAAUGAGGAAUAUGGACAUUUUAAUGUGCGUGUGUACAUAUACGUGGAGAUUAAUGUUUCAAUCGCAAACUCGCGAUAAAAAGAUAGUUUUGAAAAUUAUGGUUUCCAUGAUCAUGAAAUAUAUGGAGAUUAUCAAUAUGUAGGCAUACACUUGGAGUUAUACAUCUUGUGAUCCCCAUGCAUCAUAUGGAAGGAGAUAUUCCAUAGGGGAGCUUACCCUAAUUUAUGGUUACAUGACAAUAGGUUUGACAUGAAAUUGAGAGUGCCUUGGCAUAAAUGUAUAAUGUAAUGUGAAAGGUUAAAAAGCCACAUAUACUUUAACAAAGCCAAUAACAUGAAGGAAGGGGAGAUAUGGAUGUUGAUAGGCUGAGCAUAAGGACUUAAGGAUAAUUAAUGCAAUUAUAUUAAGUUAGAUGGUAUGAUCCGAAUUAAGAACAUGGACGCCUUGGGAGAUUUUGAAAUAAUGUCUAGUGGGGUUAGUGAGCUAAAGUGUUAUCAGGCAUGCAAUGAACAACUAAAUUUAUGAGUGACUACGAAGAUAAGCCUUGGAUUGUUUAAGUUCUUAAUGGAACUUUAUUAAAGCAAGUGUAUGGAAAAGCAUAAGGGAAUAUAUUAGUUUGACUUAGUAUAAGAGGUCAAAAGUUGGAUGGCCAUGAGUGGCAUGUAAGUAACCCAAGAAUGUAUAGGUAAGUGUGCAAGGGAGCUAUGAUUGAUAAAUAAGGGUAGAACUUUAAUGAUGAGACAGUGUUCGUUGUGUUAGACCUUGAACUAUAAAAUAUAGAUAUGUAUCACCUUAUCAAUACUCUGAUGUGAUAAUUUCGAAAGACUUUUCGCAAUGAGAAAACAUUAAAGCUUAAGGAGCAAAUGGCUAUAACAGUCCAGUUAGACUCAUGACUGACAUGCCACAUAAGUAUGAGGAUGGGAUACAAGCAUAAGUAUACUUGGAAAUACUGAUUUGAGGCAAUGAUUAUCCUACUAUUUUAUGGACCUAAUGAGGUUCUGGUCUCGACAUAAUUGUAGACGCAAAACAUAAAUUGUGAAAUGUACUUCCCCACAAGUUUCAAUUUAUUUUUAAGUAAUUAUUAAGGCAAAGUACUUGAUAAUGAUAGGCAAAGGUUGAAUUGUGUUCCGAAUGAUUAGAAAAUGAGGGUGAUACGGUUUGAUUAAAUGACACUAUUAUGUGUAAGGGAAUAGAAAUACGCUACGGGGACUGUAAAGAUCUACUUAGAAAAGAAAUGAUGAUUCGAAAAUUCAAGUACUCAUGUACAAGUACGGGUUUGGUGAUGAGAUAUGACAUAGGGUUGAAUUACUCUAAUAUGAACUUUGACUACGAAAAUUUGAUUUAUAUAAUACGUGUUGUUUGGGGAUGAUGCCAACUAGUGGUUAACUCUCAUAUGAGAAUGGAAUAUGUGCAAUCGAAUUCAUGUAAUCAAAAGUGUGAAAAUUUGCCUUGAUUGGCAUAAGCCCAUGACUUAAAAUGGAUGAUUAUGGAUUUAAUCUUCUAAGGUAAAAAGGGCUGAAGGAAGUUGAUACCAGAAAUAUUUUGAUAAAUGAUACUUUGAUUUUAAAGUGUACUUGAGGAGAGAUAAAUGUUUAUUUUCAUUUUCAGAUUGAUAAACUAAUAAGGCCAUGAAAUCUAGUGUUUGGAGUAAAAUUUGAGGAAUCACAAGUUAGAUAUGUUUGUAUGUGACGUAUAACUAACAAGUUGGUUAUGACCUAGGAAUUAUAAGGAUUGAUUAAGUCCAUAAUGAUACAUCGAAAAGUAGGUUUAUUUAUUUAAAUAUAUCAUGGUAAUAGAUGAGAUCUACUUAAUAAGUACUCGAUCAUGAAAGUACUGGAGUUUUUUUUUUUGAGAAUAUGGUUAUAAAUGGUUAUCAAAUUUGAAUUAUCUGUGAUGUUAAAUAUAUAUAUGGAUAAAUAAAGAGUGUUUGAUCCUUAUGUAUUAUGAAAUGCAUGAAUAGGAAUUGUAGUGCACUCCCCUUUAGGAGAAAAAUUGAUUUGGAAGUAGUUGUAAUAUGGAAAGAGUAUUCUGAAGUGAGAAUUAUUUAUUGUUAACAAGUGAUAAAGGUAGCGUAAAGAUAAGAAAUCCCAUUAAAGGCUGAGUUGCGUGGACAUAAGAGACUUUGGGAGAUAGUUAAGGAAAUAGGAUCAAGGAAAUGUAAUCUAUAGCGUGGUUAAGCCGUAUGCGAUGGACUAAUAUGAUUAAGAAGAUUGAAGCUACAUAAAUGUGAGGUAAACAUAAAUAUGAGGAUAUGUAUAGGAAUGAAUAAGAGCAUCCCAAUGGUUAAAGUAUUGUGGAUGAAUGCUCGAAUGGAAGAGAUAUCAUGGGAAGUUGAACAUCAGAUGAGAAGACAAUACCCCACCUUUUCUUUGAGUUCAGUAAAUGAAAUUUUGAGGUAAAAAUUUUUUUUUAAGGGGGAUAGUGCUAUCAAGCCUGACCUUAUAAAGCACUUGCCAUGUUCUUCAAGUGAUUGACAAUAUGCUUGCAUACUUUAAAAGCCUCGAAAAAUCGUCAAAAGUCGAUAUUGUACCAAAGGUACAAUUAAGUUGAAUUAAGCCUCGAACUAGUCUAAAUAUAGAUCUUAAGAUAAAAUUGAGAAUUUUAAAACCCCAGAAUGACUUAAAAUGAUGAUUUAGAGUUCGAGGGCUGAAUUGGAGUCAAUUUGGAAUUUUCAUGUUCUAGGGGUAAAAUGGUAAUUUUGUCACCCGAGGAUAAAAUGGGAAUUUUUAGAAAAGAUUUUGAUCACAUUUAACUCAUUGGAGUAUGAUUUAAGUUUGAGAGGUGAAAAAUUUAAAUUGUGACCAUUUUGGAGUCCUAGGGGUAAAACGGUAAUUUUAGUAGUUUACGAGGGCAAAGUUGGAAUUUUAGAAUUUUACACCACCCGAGACUUUCUCGUUGUAGCGAGAUUCAUUUUCGCUGCAGCGAGAAUCAGGGCUGAUGAAAUUAAGGGGGGGUUUUGCUGCAUUGGAAAUCCGUUCAGUUGCAACGAAAAUCAAUUUGAAAUCAGUUAACAAUUUCCAACACUCAACAAUCAAUACAAUCACAUCUUAUUUCUUUAUCCUUUCUAUAGCAUAUAUAAACAGUUUUAUAACUUGUAUGAUCAUCUCUAUAGCAUAUAUGUAUAAGUAUACAUACACCUACCGAUCAUUAGCUCAUGUGCACUCCCACACCGCACAUAGCUGGAAUCAUCCUAUGCACUUCCACAUCACACAACAAACAUAUAUACAACCACUAGUCAUCAGCUCAUGUGCACUCCCACACCACACAUAGCUAGAAUCACACCACGUCAUCACUAGCAUGUGCCCUCCCACACCGCACACACUCGGUUAUAAUUACCAAACAAUAUUACUUAUCAAUACAUAUCAUAUAUCUAUAUAUAUAUAUAUCAACAUAACAUAGGUGCACACGGAUUCAUCACAGUCAUAUUCCACAACGCAAAAACGUUUCCUCAAGGGCUUGUUCCCAUGCAUAUUUUAGUGAAAAGAUCAAUCAAAUAUUUCAUGUGAUUCAAUCGAGCUUGUAUGCACUUAUCCCUAAAACAUUUUAAUGCAAGUUCACUCACUGUUUUUGUUGAUGCUCUGAUCGACUCUAACUAUGUCAAAUGCUCCGAAUAGAGAUGUGGGGCCUCAAAAGAAACCUUGGUGGAUUUUGUAAUUUGAAUUCCUUUCUAAGACUAGUUGUCUUAAAUUCUUAGCUUUUGGUGAAUAAGGUUUUUGUUUGGAUUCAUACUAAAGUCUUUUGUUAAGUAUCAUUGUUAGGAUGUGAUUGUCACAAUUUUCAACACUAUAUCUUUUACUUUGAAUUAUUCUGAAUAUUUAGAGAAGGUUUAUAUUGAUGUAAAUUUUAGAUUAUGUCAUAAAUUCUAGAAUUUGCUUGAUUUUCUUUUGAGGUGAAAUCCUAGGCAAUACUUAGUUAGGGAGAUGAUUUAGGCUAUCUUUGGAUAGUUUGAGUCUAAAAAGCCAACCUUGUUAAAUUUUUAUCCCUAAUAUACUCUUUUGAGCCUAAUUUCUCUUUUCUUUGUUUAACUACAUAAUAAUUUAGCCUAGCCUUUAAAUAAAAUUUCCAAUUUUGCAACCUUCACUCCUAAGCAUGGAUAUUGUUUUAGAAAAUAUAGAUUGGGCUAAAUGUUGAAAAAGGUGGAAAGGUGAUGUUGAUGUGAAAAAAAAAGUUCAAAAUAUUAAAAAACACCCCACUACCUAAAAUACAAGAAAAUAAGUUUGGGGGUGUGAAAUUGGGAAAUUGUAAAAAAAACAUGUUUUGAAAAAAAAAAUUCAAAUGGAAGAAAAGGUGUACUUGUAGAACUAAAAUAGAGCUUUAUAUAUAGGUCCUAGAAUAAUUAUGUGCUUAGGGUGAUUUAAGCCACAUUAUUAUCCUUUAUCAUACCUUGAACCUAGCCAUACAUUACAAGCCUAUUAAAGUCCUAUUAAUCCCAAGCUUUGUAUUAGUCUUCCUUAGUGGAGAGAGAGAUGAAAAGUAAACCUAUGGGAUCUAGUACUAAUUUGAAAUUUGUGUUGGCAUAAACUUAUCCGGAUGUCAUGAUAUUCUCAAUAAAAGACUUCAAACACACACGGAAAUCCAUUCGAGAAUGUGCUUGCAUUAGAAUUGAAACAUGAAUUUAAAUGAUCCUAUAUUUUUCCUUAGGUUAAUGAUUGAUAGACAUACUUUUGAGAAAAUUAAGGGGAAUCACUGAGUUGGUGCACUUUAUCUCUAGUAGUAGUAGUAGUAGUAGUAGUAGUACAAAUAACUACAUUUAUUUUAGUUUUCAUUAACUGAAUUUGAUUUUUGUAAGUUAGUUUUUUUGCUAUGUUUUGCUUGAGGACUAGCAAAAUAUUAAGUUUGGGGGUGUGAUAACUUUAUGAUAUAGAGUUAUUUGGGCUUAAUUUUGACAGUAAUUUAGCACAGUUCUUGUAGUAAUGCAUAGAAACUAGUAGAUUUUAUUUAAUUAGUUAUUUUUGGUGAGUCAAUCUAAUCUUAGUUAAUUUUAUGCUUAAUUUGGUGUUAAUGUGGUUAAGAUAGGUUGUUAUUGAUUUGUUUGUGCUUUUGUAGGUAUUUGAUGAAAGAAGAAUUUUAAUAGAGGAAGAAGAACAAUUUCAAAGUGUAGAUCUCCACUGCACAUGUUUCGAUAUUUCGGCCAUAACUCUCUCUAUAGAGCUCCAAAUGAGAUGAUUCUUAGACCAUUGGAAAGAUAAGAGAAAAAUAUACAACUUUCAUAUUUACUGUUUGCUAUAAGCCUAUCCUUGUAAGGGCAAAGUCACUAAAGGGAUUGGAUCCCUAUAUAAUAUGAUAGUGAUUGGCUUUGUGCUACUAGGAGAUGUUAGGUAUAAGCCUUACAGCCAAUUAGAUUUCUCAACCUUUAUAUCUUUAAUCAUGCAGCAAGAUUACUCAUAAUGAGCGAUCAAAGGUUUUCCUCCAUUAAUAAGCUAUUGUACUUAGGCUUAUUGGAUGAAGUCUAAUGAAUUAACAUGCCUUGUUGGGGAAUUGCAAAGUGUUACAAUUAUGAGAUCCCUAUACAUCAAAACAUAAUUCCUAAAUUGUUCCUAGUUGAUGUAUCAUUGAGAUUGGACAUCAAUGAUUUUUAGAGACUAGCACUUCUAUGUUCCAUACUUGUGAAGUAAGCAACUGAUCUCCUAAGUUGAAGUAUAGAAAAACUUAGAACUAGAAUCAUUACAAAAAAAAAGACCAUCACCAAUUGUCGGUAAAUUCUGUCGAAAAUUAUUGACGGAAUAUCGAUGGAAUUAAGUUACAAUAAGUAUCUAAAGAUUAUUAAUGGAAUAUGCUGAUAGAAUAAAAUUCAUUGGUAAAACAUGGGUUCUUAAUGUAAUGUGGUGGCAUGAUUUUUACCGACCAAAAAAUGUCAUCGAUAAUGCCUUCUCCAAUGGAGUUUUCUGACCAAUUUACUGAUGGAAUGUUUGGUAAAAAAUGUGGUCAAGUCACUAACCAAAUUUUCGAUAGAAAUUUUGUCAAUAAUUGUGUUGAGAAGAUUUAUAAGAUUUCCAACUGAAUUACUGGUAACUCUAUUAUAUAGAGUUAUUUGGUCACAAUUUUGGGUGAUUUUGUCUAAGUUCUUGAAAUUUAAUUUAAGUGUCAAGAGUUUUUAGUCAUUUACUUUAUUUUUACUAAAUUAUGUUAGGUUUAAUUGUUUUAAGUUAUUUUAUAACGUUUUGAUUUAAUUUUUGUUAUUAUUUAGGCUAAAAUACCCAGACACCCUCAAGUUUUGAUCAAAAUUACACGAAUAUCCAUUAGUUUUCAAAGUGGACACUCGACCCCAAAAAAAUAUUUUUGUUGGACACAUAAGUCCUAUCGUUAGUCAAUCGUCAAUAUUUUUGUUAGUUUGAUGACAUGACAAUAUUUUAAAGAUAAUUUUACCCUGUUACUAAUUUUAAAAAUUACCAUUAACUAAAUUAUAAUUUUUAUGUUUUUUUCAAAAGAAAAUUUCUUGCCUCUUGUGGCUUAUUGUUGGUUUAAUAUGUGCAAUGCACAUGGCCAUACAAGAAAUAUAAGGAUAAGUUGAGUAUUGUUUGCCACAGAGAUUUGCACCUAUUCUUACUAAGUGUUAAAUUUAUAACAAAACCGAUCUUAUUCAAGCACUCAAUUUUGACUGAUUCAUUAAAAUAAAAAUGAUUAUUAAAACUAAGUUAAUAAAGAAGAAUAAAAUUUCGUUAAGAGAAAUAUUGAUUUAAAAGCCUAGGAUUAUGGUGUCUUUCAAAACUUCAUCUAAAUUUAAUCAUUCUCCUUAACUUAGAUUAAUGGGAUACAUGACUAACCUAGAAUCCAUAUUAUGUACAAGUCUCUAUCAAGAUCAUGCACACAUACCUUUCAAAACUAAUUCCAUAUGUCUAUGAAAAUUAAUUAGAAAAGGUUCAUUACGUUUGUAUUCUAAUUUGGCUGCCUAAGGUAUUUAAGUAUAUGUCUAUUGUAAAUACAAAACUAUCACCUAACUCUGAAGUGAAUUGAACAAAGGCUAUUCAAAACAAUGGUUUAUUCUAAACUCCCUCUAUCUACUUCAAGUUGGAUACCUAAUACAUUUCAACUGGUGAUCAAGUAGUGAACACCAAUAAGUACAAAAUUGAAUAAACCGUGCACCAUCCAUUAAUACUAAGCAAAGAAAAAUCAUAUAUUCAAAUUACAUAAUUGUCACGACCCAAUUUCCUGAGCCAUGACCGACGCAUGAGCUCAAUGAGCAUAGCUCACUAAGCCCAAGCAAGCCUAUCCAUUUGCCUUUGCUUAACAAAUUUAUCAUAUCAUGCAUACACACACACCUUUUCCCAGGUGUGAACAUAGCCAAAACACAAUGGUAUUAUCGAUAAUAAUAUACAUGCACUAUACCAGUCAUGUAUUUAGCAAUUUACAUUGCAUACAUAUAUUCACAUUGUUAGAUUGUAUUCACAAUACAAAAGCACCAUGACUUCCAGCGGAGACAUUUACAAUAAAAGGGAUUACUAUCGAAUGCCAGACACAUACCCAGAAGAUGCACUAUGGGGACUCCUCGAUCUAGGGUCUAAUAGUCACCUGAUCUGAAAACAUGAACUUGAAAAUGGUGAGUAUAAACCCAGCGAGUGAACAAGGAAGAGAACAAACAGCAAUUAGGGAGAAAUUAAAAUCAUGAUGCACUUGUUUCAAAACAAUGCAAUUUAGUUCAUUCCUAUUUAAAACCCCUCCAAACCCAAGAGUUUCUCGCUGCAGCGAGCAUGAAUUUCGCUGCAGCGAAAACGGCACAACAAGAGAAACAUUUUUCCUUACUCAACAAAAAGCCAUCUUGCUAAACUAAUAAAAUCAACAUAAAAUUCAUGAAAAUUCUCAAAGUACAAUGUGUCAAAUUUCAUGUACAUCACAACCAUAAAUCAUUGUCCAUCAAUGUGGUAUAACACACACAUUUACAUAUGUAUAUAUAUAUAUAUAUACGUAUAUACCUAUCAUCAUCAUCUCACCAAUCCAUCAUCAUCAUCACCAGCUCAUCAUCAUCAUCACCAACUCAUGCGCACUCCCUACUCGCACAUGGCUGGGUCAUCACCGGGUUAUGCGCACUCCUUACUCACACAUAAUCGAGUCAUCAUCGGGUUAUGCACACUCCCUACUCGCACAUAACCGGGUCAUCCUCGGCUUAUGCGCACUCCUUACUCGCACAUAGCCAAGUCAACAUAAUUACACAACAUUAUAUUCAAGCAUAUAUGUAUAUCAACAUAAUGCAGCCACAUAGAAAUCCAUAAUAACCGCAUUUCAUAACAUAAACCUUUUCUUAAAAGCUUGUUCCCAAGGCAUUCAUUUUCAUGAAAAAUUUCAUAAAAUCAUUCAAACACUUUGUUCAAAAUAGUCAUAUUCCCAAAACAAUUUUGAUAGGCAGUCCACUCACAAGUGUCAAAAAUCCGGAUUCCAGGUGCAGUCAGACUAAUAGUCCUCAAGCGCAAUUCCUUUGCCUUUUCCUGACAUCUCCCUACCUUGACAAAUAACAAAGUCGAGGAAUUUACUAUAUUGUCCCUAAAUUGAUAUAAACUAAUUUAAAUUACUAAUGCUUGAUAUGUAAAUGCAAAAAUACGUUCGAUUACCGCUUAAUCGCGGUAUCGAUUAAAUUCGACCGAUCACCCGAUUAAUUGGCGAUUGUGUCCAAAUCAUCUUUAAAUUAAUUCAUUUUUCCUUUAAUACCUUAAUUUACCACAUACCAUUUAAAUAAAGCCAAAUUCAGCAUUGUUCCUUAUAGAAAAAUUUGGUCAUUUGGUGCACUAGCACCAAAAUUUUUUUCUACAUAACUGUUUCACCUUAAUUCAUCAUUUUUCAAGCCAUUUUCCUUGAAAUAAAAACAAUCCCCCAUUGAUAUUCAGCCCUCAUGGUUCGACCAACAAGGAACCCUAGAGAAAUUGAAUAUUUCUUUUUGUGUUUUGGUUUAUAACCAUGCUUAACUAUCCCUAAACACUAACAUAGUCUAAAAUAAAAUUAUUCCAACAACAAUUCCUUUUCCAUACCCAUUUUUCAGAAUUGAAUUCAUCAUGAUAACUCAAUAUUCAACCAUGAAAAUCAAGAACAAAAGCAUGGGUAAGCUAGGUAUCAAGGAGAAUUAAAGAAAUUUUAACUUACCUAGCUUGUUUCCUUGAUUUCUUCACUUUUUCUUUGAAUUUCCACCUAGGUUUUCUUGUUUUUCCCUUUGUUCUUCCUUUUUUCUUGUUGCUGGUUGUCUAGGCCAAAUAUGGUGAGAGAAUUGGGGAUUUAAUGGGCUGAUUUCUAUAGAAAAUAAUAAAAAUAAUCAAGCAUGCCACGUGUCACAUGCUUAUUGGCCUAAUUUUUAACUUUUUGACUUUUUUUUUCUUAAUUUUUCACCACAAUUAUUCUGGUAUUUAUCCAAUCCUACCACAUUUAAAAUCCCUUGGUCUUGAGAAGUGCUGGGGCGAAAAAUUUACCGAUUUGCCCUCGGGAUAAGAAAAUUACGAUUUUGCCCCUAUACUCCUAAAUGUACCGGAAUCGCAUUAUUUCUACUUUUCAACUUCAAAUAACACUAAUAUUGAUCAAUAUUAACCAAAUGGGGCAAAAACAAUAAUUUUUAAAAAAUUUUCGUUCACUCCUCUAGUGGCAAAAUUUCCAUUUUGCCCUUGUACUCCAAAAAUACUGAGAAUCACAAGUUUUCACUACUAAACAUCAUUUUAUACUCCAAUAAUCAUAAUUAUAUUUCAUAUAAUUAUUCUUAGUCAAAUGUGAUCAAAUCUUGGCUAGAAAUCUCAUUUAAUCAUCAAAUGGUAAAAUGAUCGUUUUGUCCUUAAUCGGUCAAUUUUCCUGAUGGACUCCAAACUGGACCUUGAACUCCGAAUCACUAUUCUAAGCCAUUCUGCGGGUUUCAAAAUUUUCAAUUUUCUCUUAAAAUUUCUAUUUGAACUAGUUCAAGACUCUAUUUAACUUAGUUAUACCACUCGGUACAAUACCGUCUUUUAAUCGAGCUUGACAAGGUCUCACAAAAGAGCAGCUUUUGCUGCUGAUUAUGAAGGCUGAAAAGUGUAGUUUUUGCUGCUGAUUUUGAAGGCUGAAAGGUAUCGUUUUAGUUGUUAAUUUUGAAGGCUGAAAGGUGCGGUCUGGUUGUUAAUCUUUGUGGCUUUGGUUGCUGAUUUUUGAGGGAGAAUAAUGCAGUUAAGCUGCUAAUUUUUGAGGAGAAAUAGAGCAGCUUAGCUGUUGAUUUUGAAGUCAAUCUGAGCAGCUUUGGUUGCUGAAAAUUAUUGGUUGAAAGAAGCAAGAAAUUGUGGCUGACGGUGAAAGGGAGAGAGAGGAAAAAAUUGUGGACAGCUUGUGCAUGUGAGAAAAGAAAAAGAAAGACAAGCAAGGUGUUGCUGGACGGUGAAAGAAAGAAAGAAAGAAAAGAAAAGAAAAAAAAAAAAAAGAAAGAGUGGGCAUGGCCCAACAAGAAAGAAAAAUUUGCAUAACCCAAUAGAAAGAAGUUGGGGAGAGACCAUAAAAAGGGUCCAAUAGCCAUAAAGGAGGAAAAGCCCAAGAUAGAAUAAAGGUGGAAAAAAUUGGACUUGGACUAACCUAGUCCAAAUAGGUAAAGAAAAUUUUCUUUGCUUUUAUUUGGCCUAUUAUGAAGUUGUAUUAUUUUAAGCUAGCCAUUUGUUUAAUUAAAUUUUUGGUUAUUAGUGAUAUGAAUUAAAUUUAAAUUUCUUUAAUAUAAUAUUUAAAAAUUUUAUUAGGAGGUGUCAUAGGACUAAAGUAAAGAAAAAAAUGUGAAAUUUAUGAAUAGUGCUCAAAUGAAGUUAAGAAAUUUUAAAUGAUUUGUUGUGAAGAAUUGUUGAGGUCAGAGGAAUUUAUAUGCAUAAUUUGGUUGAGAGUGUUAAGUUGAAUGGUAAAAUAUUCGAAGAAAUGAGGAGAAAUAAUGUGGACUUAUGAUAAAAUGAGAGAGAGAAGUGGAAUUGAUGCACUAAGUGUAUUGGGUUUAAAUUGUUGCUACGAAAGUUGUUGUGAAAGCAUGUCGAACGAAGUAUGUGAUUGGCAAUUAGGAAUAAUUAUACACGCAUACGAAUCAAUAGCGACGUAGUAAUCCCACUAUUGUGGGGUGAGUAACCUUAUCAUCAUCUUAAUUAUCUAAAAUAUGUUUUAUUCGAUUUUGUGAAUUUUAUGGAAUAUGAAUUAAAUGAUUAAUUUUUGGGUUUUAUAAAUAAAAUGUGAUUUAAUGAAAUGAUUUCGUAAAAUUGUUUCAAAAUUGAAUGAUGGUUUGAAAAUAGAGUAAUUGGAGAUUGUUUUUGUGUGUUGUAAAUUCAUGAUUAUAAUUGAUUAGCUUACGGCAAUAUUGGCAUGAAUGGUUGAUUUGAUAAAUGUAUUGGAAAUGUAUAAAUUGUUGAUUUGUCUUGAAACGCUGUAAAAUAAAAUAAAAUAAUUGCCAUGUCAUGCUAUUGUAAAUUUUAUUGUAUGGUGGGUUUAGCUUGCUGCUGUGGGCGGGUUUUCUAUGGACCAGCCUAUUAGAGGGGGACGGAAUCCCGUUAUAUUUUACCUCGGUUAGAGAGGUGAAUAGGGUAACUCCCGAGGUAUAACUUUAGAGUUUCACUUCAUGCAAAACCACCACGUUAGGGUAAACUCAUCCAACGCUAAGGAAUGGCUAUGUUUUCAAAAUAAAAACAUAAUUUAUGCGUACAUAACUUUUUAACAGCCUUCGCGGACUCGGUUUGAAUAGCCCUCGAUCAAGGCAUCCUUGAUAACUGGGUAUGAGAAUGAUUUUGGCACUAGCCAAAGCUUUUAAGAAAUUCAUAAGCCAUGUUGAUUACUCGAUUUAUUUGAAUUGAUUUUAUUUGGUUGAAACAAGUUGAAAGGUGAUGAAUUACAGUAUAUUGAACUAUUUUAUCUGUCUUCAUUGACUCAGCUCUAGAUAUUUUAAAUUGUAUUUGUUUACUCACUGGGAUUAUAUAAUCUCACCACCCUCUUUUCCACCCAUUUCAGGCUUAGAAUAGUCUGUAGAUAGUUGAUUUCAUCGAGGACCACCAUUGGAUUUGCAUCCUCCAAACUGUAGGUUCACAAUCAUUCUUCCUUUUGGUUAUUCGAAGGCCCACUUGUUACUAUAAAUUAAAUUAAAUACUCCGACUUACUGUAUUACGAUAUAUAUGAAUUUAUUUUACUUUUACGCUGUAAAAAUUAUUUAUGCAGUAUUCUAAAAAUAUUGUUUUAUGAGAAAAUUGAAUAUUUUAUUCAAUGUUUUUAUUUUAUUCUAAUAGUCAUAAUUUCAUUUUAAAAGAAUGUUUUAGACAUCCAAAUUUUUUUUUGAUUAUGAAAUAUGUGUUUUGCACCCGUAUACUACAUUAUUAGCUGGUUUCGAAAUUUUUAGGGAAAAAUGAUUGAAAUACCCCUGUGAGAUGAAAAUUAUUUUUUUAUUAUUAUAAGUUGAAAAUAGUUUAAAAUCUUUUAGAACGUGAUAUUUUGUAACGAUUACUCAUAGGGGAAAUGAGAAACUGAUAUUAAAGCCUUAUGGGGUUCUGGUUGGCAUUCCGGGUAAUGAGUGUCUAUUGAGACACCGCGACGGUUGUCACAGGCUCAAGGGGAGUACCGGGUCGUGACAAUUAAGUUGGUGUCAGAGCUUUUGGUUUUAAAGAUAAGAGUUUUUAGUUUAAAGUUAUUUUAAAAAUUUACAGAGUUAGUGUGGCCCCAAGUUAAGUUAUGUUAGGUUGAGUAGAACGCAUGCAUCUAUAGAUAGAAACCUACCUACUCUUGUGAUGCGUGAAUGAUUAAGUAAUUACUAUUUGGUUGCGUAUAGAUUUUGAGGUGCGCUGGUGACACACACCACAUGUCUUGGAGAGACGGUAGUCCCGACGCCUCUCAUAGUAUUAGUGAGGGAUCUCUAGAUUCUACUAUUGGGAGCCGAUGGCAGCCCGAAUCGACUAGUCCAGAAAGUGCAGAUAGUAAUAAUAUUAAUGUAAGCAUGAGAGAUUCCCUUUUUAGAGAAUCUAAAGAAUAUGCUAAAGAAAGAGGGAAAUUAAGGAUAGCCGAAGGAGGUAUUCGUCUUAGGAAGGGGGUGUCAGUUGUUCGACACUAUCCUUCAGGUUGUGGAAUGAAUGUAAAGGAACAACAAGAAAAGAACAAGGAGAAAGUAACUGUUGCAAAUUAUCCCCUUAGGAAUGUGAAUGUUGUACGACAUUUUCUUCUCAGUUGUGAAAGAAAUGCUACACCGGUGAGUUAUGAGGAAUGUAGGAGAAUACAACAAGCCUGGAUUGAGGAACAAAGGAAAAAAUCUCAAGAGGAGGAGAACCCGAAAGAGGAUCUUAAGAAGGACUUGGAGUAGAAUCUUUCGAUAAGAUCAGAUUAAGAUGAUGAUCCUAAUGACAUGUAAUAUUUUCGUAGGAUUUUGUACUGCUUUAACUUUAGGUAGAUGUAGAGUAAAGGAGAUAAUAAUUAUCUAUACAAAGAAGUUAAUAGUUUGGCUCUUAAAGUGUGUGACUAGAAUGUAUUAUAAAAUAGCUGUUUAAGUGACUAGAGGUAUAUGGGAAUCUUAACUGUAGUUACAAUUCGAAAGGAUAUGGAAAAAAUCAAUGAGGCUCUAGAUGACAUUUUGAGCGAUUAAUGUGAUAAAGUCAAAGAUUGUAAGCUUGAGGGUGAAGGAAGUAUAAAAGGAUGCCAUAACAUUAUAGGAAGAUAAUCUAAUACAAUAUAAAAUAUGGUCCAUUAAAGAUAAAUUAAGGUACCUAUACUUAUGGAACUCAUGAUAUAUGCCUAGAAGGGAAACCCAAUGGUUGAGGAUGAUUGAUGUAGUGACUUUGAAUGCAGAUAAGUAGCUUUGAUGAGGAAAUUUCUAGUACUUGCAACGCCAUAGUACUGACUAACAAACGCUGUUGCGUUAAGAACCUCUAAUGGCCAGAAAGUAUGAGCAAACUGUGAGCGGCAUAAAGAUUGGACUCACGAGUUGGAAAACGGUUAUUGGUUUUGUUGUCGAGUUUCGCUAUUAGGAGUCUUAAGUGCAUUGGGGGAGUGCUAAAAUGAAUAAUAUGUUGACUAAAGUUAAAUCUUAAGAAAUAAAGUAAACCCUGUAAAAGGUUAAAGAGGAAGUGAGGGAAAGGUUAGAUGAAUGUAUGAGAUAUUGAUAAGGGACGUCAAUACCAAGUGAUGAAAAUGUGAAUAAAGAUUUCAAGAAUGAUAUUGCAAAUGAGUUUAUAUAGAAUAUUGUUAUGAGAAUAUACUAAUCUUGUCUUGACUUUGUUGAAAGGAAAGGAUUAGUAACAACACAAGUAAACUAGGUGACAUGCUAGAAACCCUUGGAGAUAAAUUGAAGCAUGAGUAGUUGGGCAUGCCUUUAUGGAUAUGAUAUACUUGGAGUAUUAAAGAGCAAAUAAGUGAUUAAGUGUUUCAAGAAUGUUUAAACACCUUUGAGAAAGAAUUAUAAAUUAUACGAGAUUAGUAUAAGAUGUGUGACUUUAAAACUUGCUGAGGAGUCUAAUGGCUACGUCACAAAUUAAGUGAUCACAUGCUGUGAGACAUAAGUUUGAGAUAGGUAUCCCCAAGGAAAUACUCAAGAAGAGUUCUACUAUGGAUUUUAUGAAAGUAAGCAUUAAGUUAUGUGGCUAUAAAGAGGAAGUCGUAAGCUGGAAGUGAAAUUCGUAUUGACAUUGAAAGGUACUUAAGGAGAACCUUAUUUCAAGUCUUGCAGUUUUAAAUACAAAUUGCAGAUUGGUAUAGGGACAGUGAUGUCGUAUUAUUAUGGAAGAAUAGAACAAAGGAUGAUUGAAGACAAUUUGGAUAAUGAAGCCUAAUAAUGAAAACCUCCUAUGGUAGUAUGGAAAUUAGAAUUCGAAAAUGCUUAAGGCAUGCAUGAUUCAAAUGAAUCAAGGUUGAGAAGUUUAGGAAGAAGCGAACUAAUAAAAUGAUGAUUAGGUAUACAUAAGUAAGUAUAAUUUGUGAUCAAAAUCGGUAUAAUUGAGAUGAAAUUAUGGUUCAAAUUUAAUGAUGGUGAUGAAGGCAUGCUUAGUGUCUCGAUAUAAGAGAUCAUGAUUGUGAAAGGUAUUGCUGAUCUAGUUCCAAAGGAUGAUACUUGACAUAAAUGAAGUCUUUAAGUGGGGGAAAAAUGGAAUAAGAUCGUAGAAUGAGAUUGAUAACUCAACAUCGAUGUGAAUUCGAGGACGAAUUCUAUUUAAGUGGGGGAGAUUGCAAUACCCCAUACUUUGAUAUGGUGACAAAUAAAGUUUAUCGGAUGCGAAUUGAGGUCAAUUAUAAUGUUUAAACGUGAUGGAAGAUGAAAGGAGUAGUUUAGAAUAAAAUGAUCCGCAUGCAAGAAAAUAAUAAUAAAAUAAUAAUAUUUUAUCGAAAGAGAAUUUGUGAGAUAAAAGGGUGAUUCGGUAAUCAAUUGAGGAUAAUAAGGUAUUUUGGGUACCAAGGAGAUAAGAGAAAAUUUUUAGAAUAAAAUGAUAUUUUAUUAAUAAAAAAAUAUUAAAAUAUUAAUAUUUAACCGAAUGUCGAAAUCAGUCAUGAAGAAGGAUCAUAUAGUUGAUUCAAGUGGAGGGGAAGAAAUACAAACAAAUUUUUCCAGAAUGAGCAACAAAAGUAAAAUAUGCGUGUUUUGCUAAGUUGAGCUAACGCUGAUAAGUAAAUAUUUAAAUAUUAUUGUAAUACCGCGAUGAAGUGCAAUUUCGAUGUUUUGGUAGUACACGUACAGAGAAAGCAAGAUAGAUGAAAAUUGAAAUUUUUAGACGCAUCAAAGGGAUCGAAUUUAAAAUAUAAAAGUUGAAGGACUAUUUAGAGAAAUUAAAUGGAAGAGAUAAAAUAAACAAAUGGUAAAAAUAAUAAUACAAGUAUGUAUAUAUAUAUAAAAUAAAGGAAGAGCAACAUGGGCAGCCCCCCUUGUGGUCAAUAAAAAGAGUCAAAAGACUCUUUAAUUAAAUUGAUGGAAGGGGGCUAGCCAUAUGGAACAAAGGGGAAAGAAAAAAAGGUGUGAGGGGCCGGCCAAGUUGGAACAAAAUAGAGAAUAAAAUAUAUAUAUAUAUAUAUAUAUAAUUGAAUAAGUAAAGUGAAGAAGACAUAGAAGAAGAGAGAAGUCGGUUAGUGAAGAGAAGAAAAAGAAAUAAGAAGAAGGCGUGAGCAAAAAGAGCAAAAAGAAACAAGAGAAGGUUGAGAGGUGAAAAAGAAAAUGAAGGUGGAAGAGCUGAGUUGAGGAGGGCGGUUUUGUUGCCAUUUAGGGAGGAAAAGAGAGAUAUUUUUUUGUUAAUUUAAAGGGUGAGAGGAGCAGCUUUUGCUAUUAAUUUUGAAGGUUGAAAAGUGCAGUUUUUGCUGCUGAUUUUGAAGGCUGAACGGUAUGGUUUUAGUUGUUGAUUUUGAAGGCUGAAAUGUGCGGUUUGGUUGUUAAUCUUUGUGGCUUUGGCGGUUGAUUUUUGAGGGAGAAUAGUGCAGUUAAGCUGUUGAUUUUUGAGGAGAAAUAGAGUAGCUUUGCUACUGAUUUUGAAGUCAAUAUAAGUAGCUUUGGCUGUUGAAAAUUAUUGGUAGAAAGAAGCAAGAAAUUGUGGCCGACGGUAAGAAGGAGAGAAAGGAAGAAAUUGUGGACACCUUGUGCAUGUGAGAAAAGAAAAAGAAAGACAUGCAAGGUGCUGUUGGACGGUGAAAGAGAGAAAAGAAAGGAAAUGAAAUGAAAAGAAAAAAAAAGAGAAAAACAAAGUGGGCAUUGCCCAACAAGAAAGAAAAAUGGGCAUGGCCUAAUAGAAAGAAGUUGGGGAGAGACCAUAAAAAGGGCCCAAUUGCCAUAAAGGAGGAAAAGCCCAAGAGAGAAUAAAGGUGGAAAAUAUUGGACUUGGACUAACCUAGUCCAAAUAAGUAAAGAAUUUUUUUUUUGCUUUUAUUUGGCCUAUUAUGAAGUUGUAUUAUUUUAAGCUAGCCAUUUGUUUAAUUAAAUUUUUGGUUAUUAGUGAUAUGAAUUAAAUUUAAGUUACUUUAAUAUAAUAUUUAAAAAUUUUACUAGGAGGUGUCAUAGGACUAAAGUAAAGAAGAAAAUGUGAAAUUUACGAAUAGUGCUCAAAUGAAGUUAAAAAAUUUUAAAUGAUUCGUUGUGAAGAAUUGUUGAUGUCGGAGGAAUUUAUAUGCAUAAUUUGGUUGAGAGUGUUAAGUUGAAUGGUAAAAUAUUGGAAGAAAUGAGGAGAAAUAAUGUGGACUUAUGAUAAAAUGAGAGAGAGAAGUGGAAUUGAUGCACUAAGUGUAUUGGGUUUAAAUUGUUGCUAAGAAAGUUGUUGUGAAAGCGUGUCGAACGAAGUAUGUGAGUAGCAAUUAGGAAUAAUUAUACACGUAUACGAAUCAAUAGCGGUGUAGUAAUCCCGCUAUUGUGAGGUGAGUGACCUUAUCAUCAUCUUAAUUAUCUAAAGUAUGUUUUAUUCGAUUUUGUGAAUUUUAUGAAAAAUGAAUUAAAUGAUUAAUUUUUUGAUUUUAUAAACAAAAUGUGAUUUAAAGAAAUGAUUUCAUAAAAUUGUUUUAAAAUUGAAUGAUAGUUUGAAAAUAGAGUAAUUGGAGACUGUUUUUGUGUGUUAUAAAUUCAUGAUUCUAAUUGAUUGGCUUAUGGCAAUAUUGGCAUGAAUGGUUGAUUUGAUAAACGUGUUGGAAAUGUAUAAAUUGUUGAUUUUUCUUGAAAGGCUGUAAAAUAAAAUAAAUUAAUUGUCAUGUCAUGCUAUUGCAAAUUUUAUUGUAUGGUGGGUUUAGCUUGCUGCAGUGGGCGGGUUUUCUGUGGACUAUCCUAUUAGAGGGGCACGGAAUCUCGUUAUAUUUUACCUCGGUUGGAGAGGCGAAUAAGGUAACUCUCGAGGUAUAACUUUAGAGUUUCACUUCAUGCAAAACCACCACGUUAGGGUGAACUCAUCCAACGCCAAGGAACGGCUAUGUUUUCAAAAUAAAAACAUAAUUUAUGCGUACAUAACUUUUUAACAGCCUUCGUGGACUCGGUUUGAAUAGCCCUCGAUCAAAGCAUCCUUGAUAACUAGGUAUGAGAAUGAUUUUGGCAUGAGCCAAAGCUUUUAAGAAAUUCAUAAGCUAUGUUGAUUACUCGAUUUAUAUGAAUUGAUUUUAUUUGGUUGAAACAAGUUGAAAGGUGAUGAAUUACAAUAUGUUAAACUAUUUUAUCUAUCUCCAUUUACUCAGUUUUGGAUAUUUUAGAUGGUAUUUGUUUACUCACUGGGAUUAUAUAAUCUCACCACCCUCCUGUCCACCUAUUUCAGGCUCAGGAUAGUCUAUAGAUAGCUGAUUUCAUCGAGGACUACCAUUGGAUUUGCAUCCUUCAAUCUGUAGGUUCACAAUCUUUCUUACUUUUGGUUAUUCGAGGGCACAUUUGUUACUGUAAAUUAAAUUAAAUACUCUGACUUACUGUAUUACAAUAUAUAUGAAUUUAUUUUGCUUUUAUGCUGUAAAAAUUAUUUAUGCAGUGUUCUAAAAAUAUUAUUUUAUGAGAAAAUUGAAUAUUUUAUCCAAUAUUUUUAUUUUAUUCUAAUAGUCAUAAUUUCAUUUUAAACGAAUGUUUUAGACAUCCGAAUUUAUUUUUGAUUAUGAAAUAUGUGUUUUGCACCCGUAUAUUACAUUAUCAGCUGGUUUCAAAAUUUUCAAGAAAAAAUUACUAAAAUACCCCUGUGAGAUGAAAAAUUUUUUUUAUUGUUUUAAGUUAGAAAUAGUUUAAAAUAUUUUAGAAUGUGAUAUUUGGUAACGGUUACUCACAGGGAAAUUGAGAAACUGAUAUUAAAGCCUUGUGGGGUUUCGAUUGGCAAUAAGGGUAAUUAGUGUCUAUCGGGACACGGCGGCGGUUGUCACGGGCUCGAGGGGAGUACCGGGUCGUGACAUGCGUACUCCCACUUCGCACAUAGCCGGGUCAAUCAUCGAAGUACGCACACUCCUACUCGCACAUAGCCGGGUCAUCAUCAACGUAUGCGCACUCCUACUCGCACAUAGCCGGGUCAAUAUCAAUACACAACUUUAUUUGUAUAUAUAUAUAUCAACACAAUGUGGUAGUGUAUGGAUCAAUAAUAGUCACAAGUCACAACAGGGAGACAGUUUAUUGAAGGCUUGUUCCCAAGGCACUUGUAUUUAUGAAAAGCUAGAUAAUUCAUUCAAAUGUUUAGCAAAUACAUUAUAUUCCCCAAAACAAGUUUUGAAAUGCAGUUCACUCACUGGUAUUGCUGAACCUUUAAUUGACUCUAACCUCCACUAAUGGUUCAAAUGGGCAAUUGAGGCCUUGUUGGAACCUAUACACACACAACAUCACAACCAAUCCAAUUUACAUUAAUAUCACUCCAAAAGCUAGUUUCUAAUUAAAAUUUUUCUAGUCAUUCCUAAUUGGCUUCCAACUAUAUCAAAUGGCUAUUCCUUGCACUACUCUAAUCACACUAAAAAUGAAUAAACAACUCAACAAUAAAACAGCUAAUAAUCCAAAUUACUAACCAUUAUCAACAACUUAAAACUAAGCCUAGUUCAUCACUCACCUUACGGUUUCUUUGUAGUUGAAUUCUCUUCCAAUAGAUUCCAAACAAUUGUGAAAAAUCUCUCUUUCUCUCUCUAAACCUCCAACUAGUGAGAGAAAGUGCUGAACAAGGACUUUUUGAGGGUUUUAAAGUGAAAAAGUGAAAGAGCACAAGGGUUCUAGUCAAAACGGCACAAAGGUAUGAAAAUUAGAGCUAGAGAGAGAAAGUUGUGAAAGUUUCAUAUCAAUCUUCCAUGGAGGAUGGAAGCAACGUGAGAUGGAAGAAGAAGAAGAAGGAGAAGAAGCUGUUGGAGAAUGAAGAAGCUGUUGGAAGAAAAAGAUAAUUAUAGCUCAAGCUUAUCCAUUCCACUUGAAAUUACAAAAAUGCCCUUAGCAAGUUAGCUUGUUCUUUUCCAAUCCUCUGUGAAAUCUGUUUACUCUUUUGACACUGAGACCAAGUCCACAAAGGUCUAAAUAUACUUAGGUUUACGAAAACUUAAAAAUUUUGACUCAAGGUGCAAAAUGAACAUUUUACCCCUAUUGCGAAAAUUAUUGCCACAUCUAGUUUUCUUUUUGUUUUCAUCAUUAUGCAUAAUUUAUUUGGUCUUUAUGCUUAUUUAGACUUUAAGUAUCAGAAAACUUCCUUCUAGGAACUUAUUAAAGGAAAUGACGAAACUACCCUUGGCUCGGGUCAUUAUGCCUAUGCCUCGUUAUGAGUCUAUAGGGGUUGAGGUCUCACAGAUGUGUCGUCCAAAAACACUUGAGGUGAUGAUUCCUAUCUUGACGACUCAUUUGCCUUCACAUGCUUUAUACUAUACCAAAAAGCAUCUUAUUUAGGCAUCCUUGGUUAGGCACCCUUAUGGAUGAAAUUAAAGCAUAGCAGUCCAUGUAACACCUCGUACCCUCGUAUAGGAGCCAAAACAACUUUAUUGACAAGACGAAGGGUCAAUUGACACUAAUUUAAGUGUCAAAGAGCAGUGACAAGUGAAAGGAAUAUUUUGGAAUAAAAUAUUUCAUAUACGAGAGAAUAAUAUUAAAAUAAUAAAAAAUAAAUAAUAAUAAUAUUUGAUCAAGGAUGAAUUAGUGAGUUAAAAGGUAACUUGGAAGUCAAUCAGGACAAAGUGAGACACUUUGGGACCCGAGGAGACAAGUGGAGAGUUUUGGAAUAAAAUAAUAUUUUAUUAAAAAAAUAAUAUUAAAAUAUUAAUAUUUUAUCUGUUGUUGAAAUUAGUCUUAAAGGAGGACUAUAUGGCUCAUCUAAGUAGGGGAGAAGAAGUAAGAAAGAAUUUUGAAAAAAAAAGAAUGACGUUAGUGGGGCUCACGUGCCUUCAUUAAAUAAAGCAAGAGAAGGUAAAUAUAUAUUUAAAUAUUAUGGUGACACCUUGGUGAAGUGUGAAAUUGACAUUUUAUUUGUACAAGUGUAAAGGAAGAUAAAUAGAAUGAAAUUUUAAUUAAAGGAAGUUGAGAGGUGAAUUGCAAAUAACAAAAAGUAAAGGGGUGAAGCUAUAAUUAUGGUCAAAUGGUAAAUAAAGAAAAUUUGAGGACUUAUGUGCAAUUUCAUCAUUUUAAGUUAGAUGAAAAUUAACUAACCAAGGAAAAUUAGAUUAUGUGGGAGGAUGGAAUAUGCAUGUAACAAAUAUUAUUACAUGCAAAGAUAUGCACGCAAGGAUGUACUUGUAGUGGGGAACAUGUAGGACCCCCACCAUGUGACAAAUAAAAACGAAGGAGACAAAUGCACAAGAUGAAUUAUGCAUGUGAUUUUACUAGUUAAAGAAAGCACAGAAGAUUUAUGCAUGAUGGACACUUGGUGGCAAUGUUGGACUAAAUGAAAGGAAAUGUAUAUGCAUGUAAUGUUAUGGGCUAAAUGGGAGGCCAAAUGAGAAAUAAUGUUGGAGAAUACAUGAAAGGCUAUUUAACAAAAGUAAGGUGGUGUAAGUAGAAACAUGUUAAACUAAUGGAAGAAUGGGAAAAUGGGAGAAUGGAAGUGUAAAUUGAAUGGCCUGCCAUGCAUGAAGGUGAAUGGGAUGGAUAAUGUAAAAGAUUUCCAACCAAUGGCCAAAGGGAUAGAAUUGUUGCAUGAAGAUUCAUAGGAUGGCAAGGUGGCCAAGUAGCAUGAAAAGAUAAAGGAAUGCAUGAAUUUUAAUUGGCUAAGUGGGUGGCCAAAUAGAAUCAAAAGAUGAAAUUGUGCAUGCCAUUUGAUUGGUUGAGUGGGUGGCCAUAUAAAUACCAAAUUCCAAAAAGUAAAAGAGAACAAAAAAGUUGGCCUUGAGAAGCUUGAGAGACUUGAGCAUUGAGAAAGGAAAAGAAAGAAGAAAUUGUUCUUGAGGGCUCCACCCUAGAGGAAGAAAAGAGAAAGAAAGAGAGAAAAUGGAGAAAGGCUCGAGUUUGUGAGGAUUCAAGAGAAAAUGGAGAAAGGCUCGAGUUUGUGAAGAUUCAAGAGAAACAAUGGUCUUACUUCUUUCUUAUUAAGUCUUGAUGCUGAAUUACCAUUCAAAGUGUAGAUUUCAAGCUUGAAGGAAAGUAGUGCUUCAAUUUGACUAUUCAAGAUAGAGAAAGGUAAAAGUUGUGAUUUUGCUUGCAUGCAUGUUUUGAGAACUAGUUGUAACCAUAAGAAACAUUUUGUGGCAGCAGAUCUUUGAAGAAUCAAAGGACCAGAUGCAUGCAUGUUGAUUGUAUGCAAGUAUAUGGCGAUUUGAGACAAAGAAAAGAUGGGUAACUGUUCUUCACCUUGAGUUUCAUGAAUGGAACGAAAGAUAGAACAUUUGUUGAUGAUUUGUGUUCGUGGCAGCAAUGGUGAACAAUGUUAUGAAGAGAUAUUGAAUUGCAUGUAGAGUUCAAGGUGAUUUGGAAGGUAAACAUGCAAUGUGGGUAUGUUAUGGCACAUUAAGUUCAACUAAUUGAAAAUUAGUGGUUGCAUGUUAGAGUAUUCAUAAGAAUAAAGAUGAAUAAUGUGGAUAUUGAUGAAGGAUUCGUGGUUAAGAUGCUACCUAUAUAUAAUUGUGUAUGUGCAUGAAAUUGGAAAUUAUGUGAGAGGUCGAAUAUAGUGAAAAAUAAUUAUUUGAAAUGCAAAGAGUUCUUGAAAAUGAAAGAAACUAAGAAUAUGGUACACAAAGCAAAUAUGAGCUGAAUUGGAAUGAUAAAUACUAAGUAUAUUAAGCUUGAUUUAUUGCUAGGAAUUAUGCAAGUGGAAAAGGAUUACCAUGGUGAUUAACUAGAGGAGGAAAUAAGGUGACUGGCAAGCUAAUUUAAUUUGAAACGUAAUCGGAUAAGUGGCGAAGUAACAUCCCACCAUUGUAAGGUGAGUAGGGGCCGUCAAUUUUAAAAGAUUCUAUGCUAUAUCAAAGUAUAUGUAUAACAUUAUUCAAUGCCUUUGUGGAAAGCAUAAAAUGCUACAAAAUGAUAAGUGAUUUGAAUACAUGGUUUGGAAUGAUUUAUACAUUGCUUUUGUGCAAAGCAUGAGCUGGUAGAAACAAUAGGCAAUUGUGGAUGCAAAUUGAGUUGGAAGUUGUUUGUGUAUACUAUAUAUAUGUAAAGUGUUUUAGAAAUCGAGAGAGAAGCCCUUUUGCUAUAUUUUGGAUCAAAAUUAUGCCUUGUAUCUUUUUGUGACGUGCAUUGUUAAAUGCAAUUGAUAAAUGGUGUAAAUGCAAAUUCUCGAGAGCCGAUUUUGGUCCGAACUUUAUGUAAAUGUUUACACCUUGCAUUUUAAUGUGAAAAACAAUUUUGAAAGGUAACCAAACCUUGUUUUGAAAUAAUUGAAGGAAAAACUCUUGAAAACCUUGAUUUGGUUUGGAAAACGAUUUUGACAAACCGAGAGCUUCGAGAGUAGGCCGAAUGUCACAUCGGCAUAAUGUGACCCUUAUGCACAAGUGAGCUUUAGCUAGAGAACCUUUGGCUCACCGAUGAGCUAUUAGACUUGGCUAAGCCACGGUUUGUGAUUAUACGUGGCAAGGCCACAGGUUGUUAUACGUGGCUAGGCCACGAGUUGAUAUACGUGGUUGCGACCACAUGAUUUCUCCGAUGUCGACCAAUAUCGUUGAGACUGCCAUGGUUGUGGGAAUUCGGUGGAGGGUGCUUUCCUGGAUGCUAUUACGUGGAAGAGGGUCCACGGGUUGAUUAUCUAUUAUUACCUACUUGAGAGCCUUGAGAUUUUUUAGACUCGUACUCUUUUGCAUGGUGGAGAGAUAUUGUUUUUCUGUAGCUCCCUUUUUUUUUUUAAAUUAAAAGCUUUUUGUGCUUUUAAUGAUAAUCAUGAAUUGAUGUAUGUGGAUGUACUAGGUUAUUUUUACAUGCCACAUGGUUUGGGAGCGUGUGUGUUUCUAUACAUGUGAGACCCUAUCAAGCUCGAUUAAAAGACGGUACUAUACCGAGUGGUACAACUAAGUUAAAUCGAGCCUUGAACUAGUUCAAAUAGAAAUUCUAAGAGGAAUUUGAAAAUUUUAAAACCACNUGAUUUCGAUGAUUGAAAUCUAUUUUACUAUGUUUUGAUUUUCACAUUGUUUGCCAAGGAAAGUAUUACACUGUGAUUUUCACGACAUUAUUUUUGCAAGGCAGAAAUACCUUAAUUGUUAUUUGCUUUUAUAAGGAUAUCAUUUUAUAUUUUGGUUUCAUUCUUUAAAUUAUCUGCUCUAAGCUUGUUUCCCAUGUACGUCGUGCUCACGGAGCCAUGAUCACUGAGUCUGUGAGACUCACCCCUUCAUCUCCCCUUUUUGCAGAUAAGUGAUUAGCCUAGCUUGCAUUCAUCGACAUUUAUUGUCCAUCGUUGAUAAGUAACGGCAUCUUAUAGCAAUUUUAUUUUGUGUCACUCUGUUGUUCAAGGUCGAGUCGUUUAUAUUGUAGUUUGUUUGUAAAUAGACACUAGUGUUAAUGCAAAUGUACAUUUGCAGAUUAUAAACAUUGAUGUAUUUUUACGACUAUGUGGAAUAAAAGUUUAGUCUAUUUGACUGACUUUUCAUUUUAAGUGUAACACCCCGUACUUUUACAAUCAUGUUGAAUAAAAGUUGAGUUGUUUUAUCAUAGUUAUUGUUCAAGUUAUGUUACGUAAAGGAUGUAUGGUUCAAGAAAUUAAAUAGAUGGGUGGAAUGGAUUCAUUGUUAUACAAAGGUUUCGAAUAAGGCUUGUUCGAGACUUGGUGAGUUUUUCACGAUCCAAAUUUCGGGCCAUGAUCGGCGUAUGGGCUCAGUGAAUGUAGCCCACUAAGCCCAAGAAAGCCUCUUUACGUAAUCCCGUUCACCAUCCCUUCAAUUUUUCAUCACCAUUACUAGACCAACUUUUGUAAUUUACAACUAGAUGUAUUUUCAUAAUACAACAUCGAUACCAAAAAUUUAAUUUGUAUGAUCACAAAAUAAGGUUAUUCAUAGCCAUCUAAUAAUGGCAUCAUCAUUCGAAACUAUACAUGCAUCGUCUGCAAGUGAUUCAUAGGAAUUUACAUUUAAUGUAUAUGUACUCAUAUAAAAGACUUCUGAAGACCACCGGAGUGACUUUGGUGAGGGUACUGCUAUCGAAUGCCAUGAUACCUACCAAAAGUGAAUGCAAGUGGACGCCUUAGUCUCGAUCCCAACUAUCUAUGAAUCUGAAAACAUGCAAUUUAAAAGAGUGAGUAUAAACUCAGUGAGUGAACAUAAGAAGGGAACAAGUAACGGUAAGGAAUGUUUUAGAAAACAUGAUGCACUAACGAUAAAACCAUGCAAUUUAGUCAAAUUUUUAGUUAAAACCCUUCAUUCCAAACUUUGAAUGUUUAAGCUCUUAAUGUUACAAGAUCCAUGAUAAACCAUGAAGUUGAAUGAAUGAAAAUUUCAGCAAUGACCAAGCAAGACAAGCAAAUAAAGGGUUUUCUCGCUACACUAAAGAGGUAGUCUUGGUUUGCAUAUGCUUUGGUUUUUCAAGCAUAACUCCUACUACAGAAGGCCAAUUGAUAUGAGUUUUAAGUCAUUAGAAAGCUAAGAGACUGGGCUACAACGUUAAUGUUUACCACUUUGCCUAGUUCUAAUUGGAAGGUGGUCACAAUCGUUGUCAAAUUGAAAGUAUCGCACCAAGAUUUUGGAACUACCCAAGAGUUUCUCGCUGCAGCUAGAAUAAAUCUCUCUGCAGCGAGAAGCUUCAGCAAAUUUCUCACUGCAACGAGAAUACAUUCUUGUUUCAGUGAUAAUCAAGCCAGUGCAACCCCCCUCCAACCCAAGAGUUUCUCACUACAGUGAGAAUGAAUCUUGCUGGAAUAGGAGUGUCAAGGACAUAGGAUUUUUUUCUCCUAUGUCAAGACAAUCUUGAGGUUUCGAAACCAGUAUAAGAAGUUUAGGACAAUCAGUUUGUUUGCAUCCAAGAUGCUCCAAAGUGACGAAUUAUUAGACAUUUGUGAUGUAUAUAAAAUAUGUUUGAAUAAAAUAAAAUAAAAGCAAUGGGUAAAUAACAUACAUAAACUAUUUAAAAUAAUGUUUUAGAAUUUUAAAUAGUUCUCCCACUAUUUUAUAUGCAAAAUGACAACUCACAAAUUCAUUUUAGAAAGUCUGUUCUAGGAUCUUUCUAGUGGGUUUGGCAACAUACCACAACCUUGAGUAUGCUCAACAAGCCAUUAUAAGCCUAAUUGAGUAGAUAAUUUAUUGAUCACAUCUCUUAUGUGGCUUCUAGAUUCAAUUAAGUGACAACUCAUUAUCUAAGUAUAUAUUGUUGGUCCCAAAUAAAUGUGCUAGAGGGGGGGUGGAUAGCACUCUUUGGCUCUUACUAAAAUAGACUUCUAAUUGAGGACAAUUGCAAGAUAAAACAAAGAUUUAAAGAAGAAUGAAAAACUAAAAAUAGAGCAGACAAUCUCACAAGAAUUUAUAAUGGUUCGGACCAAGACCUACAUCCACUACCUUGAUUGUUCAAUCAAGGAUUUUCCAAAUAAUAUCACUAUGAAAAGUGGAAUUCUCAAGCUCCCACCAAGCUUUUACAAUGGGUUUUACCAGGCUCAGCCAAAACCUUUCACAAUGGUUUUUACAGGGAUCAACCAAAACCCAAUAACUAACUUUUCUAGGCUAAGUUAGAACCUAUACACUUAAUCAAGCAAUCCAAGCUUGAAUAAAUCCCUUAGAGUGUCUUGCACACUCUAAGUAUACAAGAAGAAGAGAAAUAAGGAAGUACUUAUGAUCAUUGACUUGAUCUAAGUGGUACAAAGUGAAGUGUUUAUCUUAAAUACAAAGAUAGAAGUGAAAUGCAGUAAGAAUGCAGAGAGUUUUUGCUAGUUUUUUAGCUCCUUUUGUUCUUGGAAGCCCCUUAAAUACUUGAAAAAUCAGCUCUGAUAGGUGUUAGAUAGUUUUUGACGGUUGGAAACAGUUUGGUGGCAGUUCUGGCCGUUAAUCUGUCUUCGAGUGCUCAAUUCAAAAUUUUUGACAGAAUGAUCUUAGUUGACUAAGUCAUUUCUAUCUUUUGAUCCUAGUUUCUGGCAGUGAACACUUAGUCAACUAACUUACUUCUUAGUCAAUUAAGUUGUUUUUGUCUUGAAGUCCAAAUUUUUGGCAGUAAGCUCUUAGUCGACUAACUUACUUCUUGGUCAACUAAGUCUUCUUUGUCUCUCAAUCUUCUUAAACCUGCCAACUUCUUAUUUGAAUUUUAACUGACUAAUACCCUUCAUUAUCCAACUAAGAGGCUUUUGUUUUGUUGAUCAAUUGUGGCUUCUUAUUCAUAUGAUUUUUGAUAUGUGCCUUUGAAUGAUUGAUUUAUUCUUGGCAUACAAUUUUUGUCCUGCACACUCAAGUAGAGAUAUUAGACACAAAUGAAUGGGAAUGUUUUAUUAUCAUCAAAAACUAAUGGAGCCAACAUAUAUACUUCGCUUAACUAUUGCCUCCAGUUCCUAAGCAUCUGGAUUUUAUGAAACUAGUUGACUAUGAUCCACCAAUAGCUCAAACAUACUCAUGUAAAAGUGUGGCCUUGAGUGUGCUCAACAAGCCUCCGAUUAAAAAAGCAAUCAAGUUAUCUUGCUAUGUGGUGAAAGGCAAUUUAAUCAUGCAUGACAUGUAACUCAAUAUUUUAAGAGGGAUUUUGUCCUUUUUGUUUUGUUAAUGUCUCAUUUGGUUAGUAAGCAUAGCAAUUAAUAUAGCAUAAAAUUAAUAUAUCACGUUGUUCUACUAAGAUGGUUAUGGACUUUUCUACUUUAGUUUCCUUAAGCCAUCAUAGGAAACAAAUUGGUCAAAUUCUAAGGGAUAGCAUACAUUAAGCACUUCAUGCCUUAGCUUGCAUCCACCUUUAGCUUUCCAUGGCACCUUAGAUCUCCAUGUUCAGAUUUACAAAAUUUCUUUCCUAAUCUAAUCCUAUUUCUAAUUACAAUUGAAUGUAGAAACCUCAACUUACAUUUAAUGGGAGUUAGAUGAGAAAAGAAUUUUACUAACCCAAAAUGUAAGAGAUAAGGUAGGGUUCACAGAUUCUGUUUCAAAAAUUACCAUAAAAAUCAAUCAACCACUCAUCCACAGUCAUAUGGAAUCCAUAGUCCAUAACUAUACUCAUACAUCCAUAAUCUAAUUACAAACAUAUAAGUAAAUACUAUUAGGAAUUUUGAGAAUAUGGUGCCUUGGAAAGCAAGUAUAUUCUCAUGCUUAAAUUCAUUAAAUUUAUUUGUAAUGAAAGUACAUUUUGAUAAUAAGACGAAGAGUUUGUUUUAGUAAGCAUUCAUUAUCUAGUUAUUAAGGUACCAAGAUACUAUUGAGUUAUUAAAAUACAUUUGUAUGAAGAGUCAUACAUAGGAGACAUGUAUUUUAAUUGAAUGUAAAAAUUAUUCACAACCAUAUAAUAAAGCUGGUCACUUUAUUUUGUUAAGGGUGCAGUGUCCAGAUUACUUCCAACGAAAUGGAUGUGAUUCAUUUCAAGGGAAUGAUGAGUCUCAAAUCAUCGAAAUGGUUGACUUCGAGUAAUGACACUAUAACAUGAACUGGAAUUAUGUGAGAAUCAAAUUUAAGUUUUACUGUUACCUAAAUCUUAAUCUCACACUUAUGCAUUUGCUUAUAGUAGAACCGAAAUCCUGAUGGAUAGUGGACUCGUGUUUAAUCUCUUUAUAAUCUUUGAUUUACCAUUUGCAUGAUCAUCAUAAAGCAUUGAUCUAGACUUCGUAUUUUGGGAUUAUAAUCAAGAUGAACAUCUGGGAACAUAUAUCCAGAUAAUGGAGUUCAUAGCAUUAACAUCACUUCUAGUGAUUGCAAGAAGAUUGGUAAUUAAUCUAAGCCUAGUGUAUUGAUGAAUUAACUACUCAUCACAUCUGGAUACUCAAAAGAUUAGAUCUAGAGUAUUGAAUCACUAAUUGGAUGAAAUUUAUGAUGGGUUUGGCUAUGGAUGGCAUGCUCAAAAUACACAGCGAAAAGAAAAUUAAAACUUUAUAACUAAACAACAAAAACAUGCCUCCAUCCAUGGCUCACCUUGGUGAUAUUUAACACAUAAAAGCACAAAAUAAAUUAUUGUUUAGAAAGUUACCUUGCCAAGUAAUUUCGUAAUCACAAUGGCACUUUCCGAAGCAACCCCACGAACACCACAAGGAGCAAACACCCUAGCCAAUCAAGUGCUUGGCCUCCAAUGGUAGUACACACGAUUACACUUGAACCUUCAACAAAAGAGGAAGUUUUUAACUAUACUUUCUGCUAGCAAAGAGGACAACAAUUGCCCUUUUCUUCUUUUUUCAGAAUCUUAACCGAACCUCUCUUGAAAAUUGCCUCAUAAGCAAUUUUCUCUUUCACACAAACGGAGUGGUGGCAAUGAAAGAAAACGUUUUUCUUUUUUUGAGAAAAACUACAUUUUCUUCAGUUGUGAAAAACUCUCAUAUGGAAAAUAGUUAAAAGGUUACUUAUAUAGUUAAGUUAAAAUAACUUUAAUUUUGCAAUUAAGCCCUCAAUAUUAUAACACAUUAUAAUAUUGAGCCCAUUACUUAAUUAAACUCUUUUAAUUAAGUCCUUGAAAAUUAAAAUCAAAAUUAAUUUCCUUUAUAUUUUGCAAUCAAGGCCUUAUAAUUAUAACUAUUUAUAAUUAUGCCAAAAACUUAAUUAAACUCUUUUAAUUAAGUUUAUAGAAGUUAAUUACCUAGCAUGUGAUUUAAGUCCAACUUAAAUCGUCACUCUCCUAAUUUAAUUCAAAUGCAAUCAUUGUGUGUUACCCAUUAGGUUCCCAACAUGUUGGCAGUGGAAUUGAUUAAUGACUUAAUUGAUUAAUAUAAAUUUCAAUCAAUUAAUUUAUAAUCAAUUCUAUAGACUAAGAUUGGCAUCUUGCAAUGCAUCAUGGCCACCCAAUUGUUGGGAGAGUCAAAGGGUUCUUUGACAACCUUUCAAUGUACAAUCUAUCAGUGUAAUUCAUUCCCUCAUCAUAUAUCCCGAAGUUUAUAAGAGCUUGGUACAAUGUCUACUUUUAUUGACCUCCAUAUUUAUUCCUACAAUUAUAGCAUUAGCUUUAUAGAGAGUUAUGAAACCUUUUUCAUAAUCUCCAUGUCACCUUGGCCAAGGACUUCAAUAAUCUAAUGUUAACCAAGAACUGAUAGGAUAUGUCCUCUAAAACACUUGAGGUGAUGAUUCCUAUCUUGACCACUCAUUUGCCUUCACAUGCUUCAUACUAUACCCAAAAGCAUCCUGUUUUGGCAUCUUUGAUUAGGUACCCAUAAGGAUGAAAUCAAAGCAUAGCACUCCACACAUAAGACAACCUGACGUCUCAAGUCUAAGGAGUAUUUACACAACUGACACAUGAGAAGUGUUGCAUAGACACUAGAGUGUAUUACCAAAUGCACUUAUCAUGGCGGGUCAUGUUCAGUGAACUUACUCUUCUAGACAAACACCUAUAUUCUAGUUCCAAGUAUCUCUAUACUUCAAUCUAUGAGAUCAAUUUCUUACUUUCAAAGUAAGGAACAUAGAAUAUACUAGUCUCUAAGUAUCAUUGAUGUCCAGUCUCAAUGAUACAUUGACCAUGAACAUUUUGAGAUUAUGCUUUGAUGCAUAGGAAUCUCAUAACUGCAACCCAUUAUAGUUUCCUUGCAAGGCAUAUUAAUCUCAUGGACUUCAUCCAAUUAGACUUAUAACUCAUUAUAAUUAAUGUCUUAUUGAUGAAGGAAAACCUCUAAUCAUUCAACAUGAAUGAUACUGUUACAUGAUUCGAAUCAAGCCUCAACCAAUCUCAAUUGGCUGCAAGGCUCAUCCCAACAUCUCCCACUAGCACAAAGGCAAUUUCUACCUCAUCGUAUGUGGAUUCAAUCCAUCUAGCAAUCAUGUUUGCAUGUAGACUAGCUUGUGCCUUUCAAUGUGGUUAAUUACUUUUAUUUAUCUUCGUGAUGUCCAUGCAUCACAUCAUGUCAUAUUACUAUAUCUAGAUCUAAUGAGACCUAGGUUCUGCUUGUAUGGCUCCAUUGUUACAUUAACAAUGUUCAAAACCUUUCAGUAGUUCCAUGGACUAACGAUCUAAGAAUCUUCCUGUUAGAGCCCUUUUAAUAAGAUGUAUAUGACUUUAAUUAUAUACAUGUACAUAGUCCUCUUUCUUUCUUUGGAACCAUUCUAACUAAACUAUGUUGUAUGCAUCAUAUGCAUUUGUCACUUUUCAUUGUACUAUCCGCCCCUUUUAAAUUUUGGCACUUUCUAAACCUAGGGCUUUGAUACCAAGUUUGUCACAACCCAAAUCUUGGGCCAUGACCGACGCAUGGGCCCAAUGGGCAUAGCCCACUAAGUCCAAGCAAGCCUUUCUAUGCAAUCUCGAUCAUCAUUCUCACCCAUCAUUUCUAAAACCACAUAUUGUAAUUCUCAACUAUAAAUAUUUCAUUAACAUUUUAUAGCAACUCAAUAUUCACAUUUGUAUUAUGUUAAAAUAAUGUCACCCUUUUGCCAACCUAUAAUGGCAUUAGUAAUCAAAUAUACAUAUUGGAUUUUUAACAUGAAUCUUAAUGGUCUACAUUACUCACACGUAUACACAAGCAUAAGACUCUUUGUGAGACCUUGAUCUUUAUAGACUCGUAGCUAGAAGUAGAUGCGAUAUCAUGGACUAGGGGUAAUUUCAUCAUUUCCUUAGUGAGCCCCUAGAAGUAUGCUUUCAAACAAUAUUAAGGCCUAAGUAGGCCUAAGGCAUAAAUGAAUGAUGAAAAUAAGCAUAAAAUGACAAAGAAAAUAGAAAUAAUGAUGAUUUCCAAGGUAGAGGCAAAAUGGUCAUUUUUCAUCUCGGGUCAAAGUUUUUAAGUUUUCGUGAACCUGAGUAUCUCUAGACUAUUAUGGACUUUUUCUCAGUGUUAAAAGAGUAAAAAGAUUGCACAAAUGAUUGGAGGAAGACAAAGCCAACUUGUUAAGGGCAUUUUCGUAAUUUAAGUGGAGUUGGAUAAGCUUUAGCUAUAAAUAUCAUUUUCCAGCAACUUCUUCUUCUUUUUCCUCCCAUCUCACAUUUCUUUCAUCCACCAUGCAAGCUUGUUUUGAAACCUCUAUAACUUCUCUCAAGUUAGCUCCAAUUUUCAUGUUUUUGUGCACCAUUUCAUAGAACAUUUUGUGCUCUUUCGCUCUCUCACUUUAAAACACUUGAAAAGUCUUACUUCCAUACUUCCUCUCACUAGCUAGGUGUUUUAGAGAGAGAAAGAGGGAGCUUCUAUAAUAGCUUGAAAAUUUUUGGAAAAAACUUAAUUACAAAGCUACCAAGGUGAGUAGUGAAUUAGAGUUGAUUUUUUUUAAGUUGUUGAAAAUGGCUAGUGGAUAGAUUUGUGACUGUUUUGUAGUUGAGGAUAUUUAUUCAUCUUUAGUGUGAUUAGAAUAAUGAAAGUAAAUAGCCGCUUAAUGGCAAUUGGAAGCUAGUUAGGGAUAACUAAUAGAACAUGAUUUAGGAGAUAGCUUUUAGAAUUAUGGUUAUAUGAAUUGAGUUAAUUGUGAUGCUAAUGUGAUGAUAGGUUCCAACGAAGCCCCACCACCCAAUUUGGACCAUUAGAGGAAGUUGGAGUUGG